Podarcis raffonei (Aeolian wall lizard) is the source of this 853-nucleotide long non-coding RNA. RefSeq lists it as uncharacterized. NCBI's taxonomy places the organism in Eukaryota, Metazoa, Chordata, Lepidosauria, Squamata, Lacertidae. The transcript is spliced from 2 exons. The record is from RefSeq and is a predicted model, not a curated record.
AACUGAUUUAGUACCUUGUAAACCUGAAUUGUGUUUACAGAACCCAGACUCUGGAAACUCCAAUGUCGACAUUAUUUCAAGAAGUUCCUAAACUUUUGCAAGUUGUUUUUCUAUCUUCCUGCAGAGUUGCUGACAUUGUUGGACUCCAACUCCCAUUAGCUUCAGCCAGCUUGGCCAGUGGUCAGGGAUGAUGGGAAUUGUAGUCUGAAAACAGCUGGAGACCCAAGUUUGGGAAACACUGAGCUAAAGCUAUCCUGCCAGGAGGUCCAAUCUUCAGUAAGCACCUAGAGGUGAUUCCUCAUGAGAAGAUCCAAUAGUGGGACUCAAGCCUCUUGCUUAAAAAUCAGUGCUUUCUAGGAAACAGGUCUAUGGCUGGAGAUGAGGCCAGGAAGCCUCUCCACCCAUCAGGCUGUUUUACAACUCACAUCAGGGAGCCUCAUCCUGAGUCUGACCAUUGUUAACACUGAUUGGCAGUGACUGUCCACUCCACGGUUAAUAGGAAGCUGCUCUAUGUACCCCCAUGGCUGCAGCAGAUUCUCCCUACCAGUUAGGAUCUCAAGGUCAGAUACCCGGACUUUUCUGACAAGUAACCUGUGCCCCGGCAAAGAAUUCUGGGGAACAUUCUGUAGCACACACACGGUUCUUACUGAAUGUUGUUCCAUUGCUAAAAGAUGUACAAGAGACACUUGAUCUGGAGAGAUUAAAAUGAACAGUGUGAAGUAUUUUAUAAACUUACCUGUUACCUAACUGGAACGUAUUAACAUGCAUGGAAUGUCUGUGGGAGAAGGAAAGAGAUUUCUUUGUUAAAUUUACUUUCAAAACUGCAAAAAUAAAGUCUUUUUUGUGGGCAAAA